AGGGCUUCAUGACAGAUCCAGGGUAGGGGCUUGGGAGCCCUGUGUUGAGGGGUGAAAUCUUGAAAGCCACCAAGCCUGGACUCAGCACAACCAAAUAAAGCUGCGAGGCUGGGGCAGCACAGGCUGCUCCUGCCAGAGGGAAAGGAAGGGAAGGGAAGGAGGGAACAGUGCUUGGGUGGAGAGCCGAGAGGUCAGGCAGCUACCAUGAGGUUGAUGGAAGAUUUGGAAGAGAUUGCUGCUGCUGAGUGUGAUCCCAGCCCAGCCACGUGCUCCAAAGCCUCCCUUAGCCACAGCUGCCUCUCUGGCUUUCUAGGUCUCAAACAAAGCAGGCAGCAGGGCCGGGCCCUUUCUUCUGCUCUAGGCAAUGGCCUGCUUUCAGCUGUAGACCUGGUUGUCUGCCCAGACUUGCCCAAACAGGUAGAUUUCAUCUGCUGGUCUUACAGUUGGCCUCAUCCAACUAUUUCACUCGCCCACCCUCUGGGUAUGACAGGAAAAUAAGCCUUACACACAGAGGUCAAAAUUAUGCUUUCAGAGAGUUUUUUAAUAAUUGUCUCACUGGGAACAUACACGAAAGCUUUCUGCCCACAACCCCCAAGAAAAACUUGUCCAACUACAGGUGCACAACAAUACUUUACUGGUGAUAAGCAGAAAUGGGAAAACCUGAGGUUAUUGCUGUCAUUUCAGUGCAUCCUGUUUCACCUGAAAAAAAUGGCAUCCUCCUAACAGCUCUGCAGCUCCUUUGGAGAGGGCAACACGUCACUGUCUAAGAAACUACACCUCAGGCAAAGGUUAAGCAAUUUACUCUGCCACUGUUUGCAUUUGCAAUAGCAUGACAUUCAGGCAUCAUGAUUUCUGCUGGCAGAAAUUAUUUGGAGUUUCUCCAGCCCAAAGAAAGCAAGACUACAAUUCAAGUCCCUAAAAAGUAACAAUGAAGGCCCUUCUUCCUUUUUCCCCUCCUCAUCCAGUCAAGGAGCUCUUGAAGUUGGUCCUUUUCCAGAAGUGAUGAGCAACAUGGAAGAGCUGUAUGUCUUCCCACAAAGGGAAAGUCAUGAAAUAAUGAAAGGCUGAGGUCAUGCCCAUCUUGAGAAUGACUCCACAGGACAAAAAUUAACAGGCUGAUUUAAACAAAACGAGCAGGAAACAACAGCAUGUUGCCAUACACAAAGCACGGAGCUUAUGUCUUGGUGCAGGAAGAUAAAGCAGGUGUGACUUGAGUUGCAAUGAGGGCACCUUUCUGACCUGCAAACUGAAGACUUGCCUGGUUACAGGAUCAAUGUAAUCAAGGAUCAGUGCAAUCAGGAUCAAUGUAAUACGGGACAUGAUUGGAAUGGAGAGUCCCUGUAGUCUUCUGCUUACCUCUUGGAUGUGCAGAAAUCCCAAGACAGAUGUUUCUUACAGUACAUGGAAAGCAUCCUGCACCCCUCCCUCCAAAAGGAGUGUGUAAUCUGCAAGUGCACCGAGGAGGGUUUUGGUGACUGGAGAGGUCAUAGCACGGGUCCCUGGAACAUGGAGAUCACAGAUCGUGCGAGGGCUGAACCCACUGUUACCAUGGGGCUCCUGGCACAGCAAGGCUGGAGCCUAUGCAGAGAGAAGACAUCCGAGUGCAGGACAACAAUCAGAAGGAAAUAUUUUAAUGCUUCACAACACCUCUCAGUGAAGAGCCCUGAGGCUGGCUGACACGAGAACAAAGGUGUAAGAAGUUAAAGGGCACUGGAAAGAAGAUCAGAGGAGAUUGGCAUUUCUUGGCAGACGGCCUGGGGGUUGGAGAGUAGAGGAGGUAUGGGGAAGAGAUUUCUUUUUGUGUCUGCUUAUUUUACGCUUAUUGAAAUUGGCAAGUGACUUCAGUGGAGAAGAUGCACAGUGCUUUUUGGUUCUUUCCACAGCUACGACCACUCUAACCUGCAUGUGCAGCGGGGCAAAGCUGGUUCCUACAAAGCUACACCUGCUGCCUGCACACAGACCCCUCAAAAAACCUGCUGACAACUAGCUGAAACAUACUUAAAGACCAAGUCCAAAACAGCAUGCAUUGUUUACCCUUGCUGUAAGGAGUUUCUUCCAGUCUUGCUCGUUAUCAAAUCAAGAAUUGUCAUAUGUGGUUAUAGACAUACUGGUUACUUUGGUUUGGGUACCUCACCUCUGAUGGUAGUGCAAUAUUUCAGUAUAAAGAAUAAGAAUCUCUUCCUGAAAACAAGAGGCAGAAAUUAUUCACCUAGAUAAGACCUAAAAUUAUAAUUCAUAACAUCUUUCUUGCUUCCUUGGAGAAAAGAACUCCCAGCCUAAUAAUUAUUUUACAAUUAAGAAAAAAAAAAAAAGGCUGCUAUUUUUAAGGAGACACUCUGUAUGUUUCUUCUGAUUCCUUUAUUUUUAUUUAUUUUUUCUUUUUCACUUGAAAUCAAGAUUAAAUUUAACUUCUUUUCAAGUUGCACACUGUAAAGAUUUAGGGUUCUUAAGGAAAGUUUGUGUUUUAAAAUGAGCUAACCAAACACAAAAAUGCCAGGAAUAUUUUAAGUAAGACCUCAUUAGGUAAAGACCAUGACUGCAAAUAUUUGUCGCCUCUCUGCAGGCACAUCAUGUUUUUAGAAGAGGAUUUAUAUAGGCUAACUCAUUUUUCUGCUUCAGCCAUUUGGACACUCAGCAAAUUUCUUCAGCUUCUCUGGUUUCUCCCAGUUUGCUCCCUCACACCACUCGUUCUUUAUCCUGUGAAAUUUCACUGAGGUUAUAGCAGCUCUUAGAUGCAAAAAGCAAAAUAAAUAAAGGCAAGAACAAAACCCCAAUCCCUUUUUUCUUCAGCCUUCUCCAGUCUUAGAUUUUCACUGCAUGCCGAUGGUAUGUGGCUGUUCUUAAUCUCGAAAGCCAUGACGCAAAACAUAUGAGGACAGCUUCUGGUGAACAAAGCCAAAUGACAGCUCCAGGCCCCCAGUGCCUGCCACUGGUGGUACUGCUCACAAGAAACAAAACUAUGGGGAGAAAGGGGGAGGAGAAUCCCUUUUGGGGAUCAUUCUCAUUAUCCUUCCCCAUGGCAGAUUUCUGCUGAAUCAUUCGUCCUACUCAGUCCCUGGAGGUUCAUUCUCAUGGGUUGAUAUUGGCAGCCUCCUACAAUUACAGGAUGAGGCUAUCACGCUUUUAUCUGCAAACAGACUCGCUAAAUGAGCACGACUCCCUCUACAAUAGUAAAGCUAUCACAAUCCAAUUCAUAAAAAUGAACACAUAGAUUCUACCCAAAGGAGUUUACACUCAGAUCAGACCCAGGCAGCAAAUCCUACGCUGCCUGUUUUCCAACACACCUGUAAGCUCCAGUACUGUCUUGUGACAAAUCAUAUCCUGCUUUAACGUAAUGUGAAAUGCAAAUAAAAGUAUCUGACGACUUUUCUUGCAGUUGCUUGUUAUCAUUUGAGAAUUUCAAAGGAAGUGGCAAUUCAAAAAAAUGAGAAGUUGAGAAAAAGGAAAGAAGACGUAGGGAAAUGUAAGCAGCUGCACAACAGUGUAAUGGGAUGAGGUGCAAAAAGGUAUUGGCGGUAAGAAGGUGUGGAAGGAGGAGGUGGCGAGUACAGCAGGGUCUUGUUCUGUUCAUAGCUCAAAUGCCAUGAAACAUUGUUAUUCACACUUUUGCCUUAGUGUAUUGCACUUUCUUUCUAACAUGAAUUUCUGUUCAUUUGGACUGAGAGGAAAGUGUUUAUCUUUCCUCAGCCCCCCCUGCCUGCUGGGAAGCAGUGAGUUGCAAACGUUGCAUUGCGGAAUCCUAAUUGCCUUCUGUAUCAAUGUGUGGUGGCAAAGACAAAUGUAUCAAGAAGCAUAUUAAACUGGGGAAAAAAAAUGAAAGUUUGUAUUUAUUUUGCUCAUAAUUAAAUAUAUAUAUCUGUGUUUAUUCUAGAGAUAAUUAUAGAAAUUAAUAUUGAGAAAUGUUUCUCAUUGUGUCAAAAUUAUGUGUUUAAUCGUGUGCUAAUAUGACUGCAAAACCCAUUUGUAUUUAAUUUCUCAAGGCUGAAAUCAAAUAAGCUGAUGAUAGCAGUGCUCUGUUUGGAUCAGUUAAGCAAUCCAAAUCAGCCAAGGGCAACCUCCUUAAAGCAGGUAAUUACUUCACUCCCACCACUUUUGAUGGGAGUUAAAAGCCUGCAUCUCCAUGAGAACUAGAGAUUAACCACCCAAGAUUUGUUUCAAUCAGACCUCUGUCAGAUAACAUCACUGGAUGCAUUCAUUUUGUCUGUGGGCAUUUUGUGCCUCACUGUCAGCUUCUGCUGGAAAGGUAGUUUAUUUAAACAAAACCAAAUAUUCUCCUGUUCAGGCAUGCUAUGUUAAAACCGUGAGUGUGGUGUCUUGGUCAGCACGGUGCAUUGAAAUGGGGGAGUACAGAAGUCCCCAUAAAAUGGCCUAGAUUAUUUAUUUCCAGUGGUGAGAGGGGGGUAGGUAGGUUUUAAACACCUGCCCCAUAGCAAGCAGUAAGCCAUGGAGGUAACUGCAAGUUACAUGAGGAAUGCUGAAAUAUAUAUUUAAACUCUCUCAUCUUUAACCACUGAAGUUUCCAUUCUUGCCCAUAAAUAUAUCAACACAUUUUGGAACAUCUCAGAGAUUUCAGUAGUAGCUACUUAAGAUAUUUAAGUAGAUACUUAGGUGGUAAGUUUUCUGGGAGCUUAGUUUUCAAUUCCAUUUUUCCCACUUGAGAUCAAAACCUCCGGUGACAUCAGUUCCUCUUGAGUCUCUCAGACAUGUCUUACACUGUUGUCCCAAUGAUCAUUCUUGAUCAGCCGCUGACUUGUAUUCGUCUUUUACUGUUCAAAGGAAAUCCACAUUGCCAAAAGAGGGUGUGUCUUUUAUAUAAUUUCAGAAGAGCAAUGGCUACAGGAAUGACGACUGAUGGAAAAUAAGUUAUAAAUGAUGGACGCUGCUGGUGUGCUUCCUGUGUGGCGGAAUGAAAAACGAUGGAUCAAAUGACUGUAACACUUCCACUGCACAACAAGACUGUAUGCAGUAGUGGUGAAAUGAACUCAUGAUUUUAGAAAACUUGAAAGGACACAAGAUAUGAAGAAUUUAUGUAUAGCAGUGUGUGUUCAAGAAUGAACUCAGUCGUGGACUCAAUUCAGGGCAUCUGGCAUUAUUUACAACAUUCGCUUCUACUUUUAGGAACGCAAAAAUUUCAGGCCUUUAACUUUUAUGACAGUUAAAAGUUAACCCAAGCAUUAGGAUGAACUCUGUCAGGGAUUGUUAAUCCUUUCUGUGCCUGUUGGUGUUAGGCUUCUCUGUUUAUUCCCUUCAGCAAUUUACAGAACAACACAAUGGGGUCAUUACUGCGCUAGGAUAAGAAAUGGUCAGGGAAGGAACCCUGUUGUUUUAUAUGUACCUGGCAGCAAUGCUGGAGGAUCUGAACAAAAUCAGAGCUCCACUGUCUUCAGUGUUUUACAGCCACAAGCUUUGUGCCAAGGCCAGGUCUCUACAGAAAGUUUUGCCACUUCAGUUAUAAUAACAGCGUCAAAGCCAGAAAACAAAUCUGUAGAUUACUGAUGUGGUUAAUGUGCAUAAACCAGUGCAGCGUACUUCAGUUUGGGAAGUGGUUAAACUCUGUGCCAGAUGAAAUUCCCCGUAUUCCAGUGUAAUGGCACCUCUGCUGAGGGUUGGGAUCUAGGGGGAGGCAGCGGGAAGGAAGCAGAGGAGAACAGGCAGGGAGUUUUGGUCGCUUCUUUCACAUUGUGUACCUGUUUCUGAGAGAAAUUUAAAGUUUGCUCAUCGUUGCCAUUUAAACAUGCAUUGGCUAUCCUUUCUCUCCUUUCAGUUUUAAGUUGUGGAGCUAGAAGAUGGUCUCUGCUGUGAGAUGUUGCCUUACUUUAUGCCAACCUACACAUUCAUUCUGAACUGUUUGCCGAUGUUCCCAACAACAGGGCAUUUUAAGGCAAACAUUCGGUUAAUAAAUCGUACCAGCUCAUUCCUACCUUUUCCCUGAAAUCUGUCAUUAACAAUUAAUAAUAAAGAAAUAAUGUAGCAGAGGCUGUAGCUAUAGAGAUAUUUUCAAACUAUGCUAGGGGAGAAUAAAUCCUCUGAGGUACGUGAGGAUACUUCCAAAUCAGAGGGCAAAGAAGUCACUGCAAACUAGUACAAGGUAAUUUUACUGGAAGUAGUGCACGGCAGAAGAUUAUAGGGACAGUUCUCUUUUGUAUAAGAAGACAUCUGUAUCAAGGAAGCCAAAUGUCUAGAAACAUCAGUUAUUUACAAUUGAAAAUGUUUAGAUUAAUUUUAGAUAACUUGCAAGAACCACUUCAGUGACUGCAUCCAGAGAGAGCCAAACGUUCACUGCCUCUUGUGUGAGUUGUCCUGCUUUGCUCUGAAAAAGUGGGAAUGCUCCCAAGACCUUUAUUCUUUGAGGAGUCUGACUAGUUCAACGGACUUGAUAAGAUACAACAGUGAGAUCCUGACGGAGAGCAGCCUUAUCUUUGUUGGAAUAUGGGAUUACUGCAGCAUCUCAUGCAUUUUGCGUUUUCAUUCGAGCUCCAGUUCCUGGAAUUCCAGCAUGACUUGAGCACUUCAGAUUGUAUUGCAAGGAAAAGUUAGUUCUGGCAUUCCCUUGCAGAGAGUGAUUUGAAAACCUGACUCACAACCAUCCUACAGUCUCAGAAACAAGGCGGCAAGUACCAAGAAUUAUACAUUUUUUAAAUCUGAUGACUUUUAAGCCAAUCUCCUGAUUCAUUUUAUUGCAAGGGCUUUGCAGUAACAAUGUCUUUAUCCAGCUGCUUCAGACUUCCAACUCUCCUCUUGUCUGUUCUGGACUUGGCAAUGCAGAUUAUUCUAAAGCACUAUUUCCUAUGUGGCAUCCUAAGAGGCAGCUCAGGCUUUAACUAACUUCUCUAACCAGUUAUGGAAUCGCAGUUCUUCAUACUGCUAUCUCACAGUUCACCCUUCUUUUACAAUUAGUUUAUUCCAUUUUCCUUGUGUGUGAGAUUUUUCUGGUAAACAUCAGUUAUUUGGGUUGAGUUACUCGUCUGAAACUUAUUGAACAAUACUUGCGGUAGUGUAAAAUAAAAGACACUUCCCCUUCUUUUUCCAUCAAUUCAAUCUGUGGUGACCGGGUAUCUAUGUUUCAGCUCCCGUCUAAAUCUACAGACAGCACUUCAUGUAUGAAUCAUUUGUUGGUGACUUGCAAAACUCUUCUGAGAUGAGUAAGUGUUCAGUUUUUAUAAUUGCUUCCAGGUUUUCAGGUUUUAGUGAUUCUAAGCAUGAGGAGCCCAGCUUAAGAUUCAAGCCUAAAUCUUUUGCAUAGAUAUACCCUUUUGUUUUUAGAGGGCUACCAACAUUUUAAAAUAAUAAUUAAAAAAAAAAAAAUGCUCACAGCCAAACAUUGCAACAUAGGUUGGACACACAUCCAGGGGUGGAAACAAAACAAGCCUUUUCUACAAACUGUGUCUCUGGGGUCUGGUCCUGUUUUGCAACUGGCAAGAAUAUGGUUAUAAAAGAUAUUAUACUGACAACAAACUUAACUAGCUGCUGUUACGGACAGGGUUGUCUUGGGCCUUUUGGAAGCUAGGGGCCUAUCAGUGGUCAAGUCUACUUGAUAUCAUCAUCAUGUACACAAAUGGGAACCAAAAGAGCCAUCUGAUUAUAUUCAUUGUAUAGAAAUCCAGUGGGUUGAUUUUCAAAAGUGUAGAAUAACCAGGAACACCCACAGGAGUCCUCUGCAUUAGUACCUACAGGAAUGAAUCUUAUUUAAUCACAUUUAAUUUCUGUCCUGGGCGAAAAGACCAUCCAGGGUCUUAAACAGAAGUUUAAAAAAGAAAAAAAAAAAUCAAGUGAAGUGACAUCCAGUACUUCAUCUUCAAAGCCUUUCUGAUCCUUUGGCAGAGAUAAUCUGAUAGUUCUUUUUCAUCCUAAAGACUCUGGUUUCCAUUUUACCUUUUGAGGGAACAUUUAUGUUCACCACUCACAAAGUCCUUUCUUAAUCUUUACUAAAUAAAUAUAUAUCUACAGAGAAACAGCAAGAAUUAGAAAACAGUUCUUUUUUAAAAGGUCUGCAGACAGAGAAGAUUAUGCAGAUGAAAGAUCUAGAUGUUAUGAACUCUGAGAUGGGAUUAUUCAUUUUUUACCCAAGUGAAUGUUAACUAGACUUGACUACUGCUCUCUCUCCUUUUCUCUCUCUCUCUCUCUCUAGUUGAUUUGUCAAAGUAUUCCAAGACCAAUAAUGGGCAUUCCCUAAAAACUGAGGAAUGUUCUCACAAGUUUCCUUCUUUCCCAGGAAUCAGGAACACUGCUUUAAGGAGGAAACGGAGAUGUACAGUCAGUGUGCACAAAAGACAGGGCAAGUAGGCUCCAAAGACAGAGUAGACUUAAAAGUGAGAGCUGUGAUUUUGCAAUUCAUGAACAUUUGGAAAGCUGAGAACAAAAACCAAAGUAACAAUUAAUAAGCUUGCUGAUUUCAAAAGUCUUAGCUGCAUUGUGAAUGUUUUGCAAAAGAUCAUUUUAAUGCAGAACACUGAACUUUCUGCUUUGCCAACCCAGAAAAAAAAGAGCCCAGAUUUCUUUCCAGUUCUCACCCCCAGGAAGAUGGCAUAUUUUUCAUUACUAUUUUUCACACGCAAACUCUGCACAUGCAGGAACGCUUUUCAACAAAGGAAAGGCUCACAUUUCAAAUAGUACCGUGGAAAAUGUUCCAUAUAGUCAGCUCCUUGACACACCGCACUGAUGUGUCAGCAUGUCUUUGUAAGGCUCUGGAACAGUCUUGGCAACAAAGCUAACCAGCAAACUCUUUGACCCCAAAUUCCUCUAUUCCGAUAAUGUUAUCAUGCAUUUGACACGGGGUCACUGUUACUCACUUACAUAAAGGAAACUUUCAGGAGAGAAACUGGGUAACGCUUAUUCAUGAGAAAUCCAGUUUAAAAUGAUAAAGUGGACUCAUAUAAGUCAUAAAUAUCCCUUGUUUUACAGCUAUGCUAGUUUUCUUAGGGCAAGAGGAUCUAAAUUUUCUUUUUGAAAAAAUUCUGAUAGACCACUUGAAAACAUGAUUUUGCUAUUGAGAAGAUCUGUCUGAGAAAACAGAAAGAAAAAAAAAGUGUUAAAAAAAUACUAUUUUGUUCAAUACCAUGAAGCAUGAAUGAGGUUUGAAUUGCCUUAGUAGCAUCCCCUCGUGGAAGCUGGAACAAAGCCAAAUCUGAAUAAAUUGUGCUAAUUCCAGAUAAUUCUAUUUGCCAGCAGUCUAACUAAAGCAUCCAUGUUCUGCUCUUUCUCUGAACCUGGCAGAGACCCCUCCAGACCCUCUGAGAAUGCAAGAGUUCAUAAGUUCACUUGCUAUUUGCACUUCAACACAUUUUGUUGAAAUAAUGUUUCCAAUCCUUCUUUACAGCAGAAGUCACACAUAUCACCAUUGAAAGAUAAGAGUAGACAGAGCACAACUUCAGAAAAUAAAAGUUCAACAUUAACUUUUAAAAUGUACUUGUGGGGUUUAAGAAUCAGCGCAUCAAUAUUUAACGAGUAACUCUUCUCCAGAAUACCUGACUUUCUGUUUGUAAGGUACGUGAAGUAUAGCUGCUUAUAUCUGUGGUUCUCCUUUUCCAAGCCCACUGAAUGUUUCCUAGAAAUUACUGCUUACACUUCUGAAAUAUUAACAUAAAAAUGACUCAGGCUUGUAGAGCCUAGAACACACGUUCUCACACUGUGAUUCAGGGAAGAGCAAUUGGAUAGCUGAGGAUUAGAAGGCUCUGGCUCUGAGUCACAUACACACACAAAAGGAAGAUAUGAAAUUUGAAGAACUGGAGUGUUUGGCUUCCCACAAGAAAAUGACUUCUUGUACCUCGAAACCUUGGUUUAAAAUUGAUACUUCCCCUGUGACCAUUUGGUGACUCAGGAAAGUUGCGUGAUCAUAGAUGAGGAAAAGUGGCCCAUGAAGUCUUCUGGGACGUUAUUCAGCCUGAAUAAUUUGAAAAUCCACUGCACAGAGGUGUUGCAAUGUAUAAUCUCCAGAAUCCUCAGUCCAAGCCUAUCUGUAAGUGUGGAAGCAGAACUAGGCUGUUAGGAGUCUCACUGGCAGGGUAGUUCAUAGACUUACCACAGCAAUUCUGUGUAAUGCUAAUAGAUGUAACCUUCUCUCAGUCCAGUAUUAACAUUAUUUCUUGCAUACAUAUGAGGGUUUCUAUUUGUAGGAACUCCAGCAGUUUCUGCUUUUCUGCUUGUCUUCUCUGUGCCUUCAUCUAUUUCUAGAAAAAAUGGAGCUGAGACUUUUGAGGAUACUCAAAGUCAUCUGUUGGUAGCCUCCAUGGUUAGCUCAUCUGUAACCCCAAGCCACCUGGAUCUUGGAAAUGCAUCUUGCAUCCAGCACUGAACAGAGGCCUAACAAUGUCAUGUCUCCUUUUGGGAGAUGUGGAACUUCAAGCCCAAAUUUCAAAGCUACAGGACACCCUCCGCACUAGAAUUGCCCCGGGACUCUGCUGAAGAAAAGAAGCUCUUGAGCAACUUGCAGAAUCGCCUCUUCCAUUGUUUCUGAAGAAUUCUUUUCACUGCAUUCCUCGGGCUGUCAGGAAUUGCACAACCAGCUCUUCCAGCUCGAGCAGAGCUGAACCUGCGAUCUGUAUCUUCCGACAGAACAGUCAUUAAACUUAGGUCGUUUCUACGCACACGUACACGUGUGCUAAAAGAUCCUUAAAGAUCCUUAGAGUUAGGAAAACUCGAAAGUCUUGAAAGUAAGACAAAGUGGGAACACACCAAUGCACCUUGCCUGUUUAUUAGGGCUUUAGUUCCAUACUAAUUUUAUGCUAUAUUGCCAUUUCAUUUCUCUAAUGUAUUUUGAAUCCAGUUGUAAGAAUGCAACGAAAGCAGGAACUAUAUGUAAUAUAAAAUACUUGUUUUCACUACCCCCCCCUUCAGCUGCUUCAUGGAGAAAGCUAAGGUCUGGAGCUUUUUGGGAUCAUUGCCAUUAAAUUAAGUAGCAGUGACUUUUAAUUCAAAAAAUCAUUUUUUAUUUUAUUUUUUUUUAAUUCAGCAACUUUUAAACCUACCAGGUUCUUGUGAAAAAAAAUGCUGAAUGAGAGGUUCCCACAGUUGUUCCAAACAUGUAGGUCAAUUGGGGGAAAAAUUAAUUUUCCUGUUCUAAAAAUCAGGCUUGAAUGCAACAAUUUGUGUAUUUCUUGCAUGACAGGGUCUAGUUGGUUUGCCAGAGUUAUACGAUGAGGGAUAAAAAAUGAGUGAAUAACAGGAAAGUAGAGCCAACUAAAUGUCCUCCACACAACUAGUAUGUAACAUUCCUUUGCUAAAAAAAAGUUAGCAUUAUAUAUAGUUCAGGCAAAA
This is a non-coding RNA of Anas platyrhynchos (mallard), 11253 nucleotides long. NCBI's taxonomy places the organism in Eukaryota, Metazoa, Chordata, Aves, Anseriformes, Anatidae. The record is from RefSeq and is a predicted model, not a curated record.